AACAGCCGCGGUAAUUCCAGCUCCAAUAGCGUAUAUUAAAGUGUUGCAGUUAAAAAGCUCGUAGUUGAAUUUCGGGAUCAAUACGUUGGUCGUGCUUUCGGGUACGUACUGGCGUCGUUGGUUUCUCUCUUCUGACGAACCAUGAUGUCAUUAGUUUGGUGUUAUGGGGAGUUAGGACUGUUACUUUGAAAAAAUUAGAGUGUUUAAAGCAGGCAUUAGCUUGAAUACAUUAGCAUGGAAUAAUGAAAUAGGACGUUUGAUCCUAUUUUGUUGGUUUCUAGGAUCGACGUAAUGAUUAACAGGGAUAGUUGGGGGCAUUAGUAUUCAAUUGUCGGAGGUGAAAUUCUUGGAUUUAUUGAAGACUAACUACUGCGAAAGCAUUUGCCAAGGAUGUUUUCAUUAAUCAAGAACGAAAGUUAGGGGAUCGAAGACGAUCAGAUACCGUCGUAG
This 450-nucleotide ribosomal RNA is filed under the name uncultured Glomeromycotina. RNAcentral describes it as "SSU rRNA". It matches the Rfam family "Eukaryotic small subunit ribosomal RNA", at positions 569 to 1023 of the family's 1831-position model. The record is from RNAcentral. Lineage: Eukaryota; Fungi; Glomeromycota.